Molecule: transfer RNA, 77 nt
Filed under: Acidobacteriota bacterium
Lineage: Bacteria; Pseudomonadati; Acidobacteriota
Also listed under: 2 other names
Description: Acidobacteria bacterium tRNA-Pro
Rfam family: tRNA
About the family: Transfer RNA (tRNA) molecules are approximately 80 nucleotides in length. Their secondary structure includes four short double-helical elements and three loops (D, anti-codon, and T loops).
Source: RNAcentral
CGGGGCGUAGCGCAGCCUGGUAGCGCACCCGGUUCGGGACCGGGUGGUCGGAGGUUCAAAUCCUCUCGCCCCGACCA